Molecule: ribosomal RNA, 388 nt
Filed under: uncultured bacterium
Lineage: Bacteria
Description: bacterial SSU rRNA
Rfam family: Bacterial small subunit ribosomal RNA
Source: RNAcentral
AUUGAACGCUGGCGGCAGGCCUAACACAUGCAAGUCGAGCGGAUGAAAGGGGCUUGCUCCUGGAUUCAGCGGCGGACGGGUGAGUAAUACGCAGGAAUCUACCUAGUAGUGGGGGAUAACGUUUCGAAAGGGACGCUAAUACCGCAUACGUUCUGAGGGAGAAAGCGGGGGACCGGCAAGGCCUCGCGCUAUUGGAGCGGCCGAUGUCAGAUUAGGUAGUUGGUGGGGUAAAGGCCUACCAAGCCUACGAUCUGUAGCUGGUCUGAGAGGACGACCAGCCACACUGGGACUGAGACACGGCCCAGACUCCUACGGGAGGCAGCAGUGGGGAAUUUUGGACAAUGGGCGAAAGCCUGAUCCAGCCAUGCCGCGUGCGGGAAGAAGGCCU